AUAGGUCUAUCAGUAGUUAAUACAGUAUAAUGAGCUCUGUGAUAGGUCUAUCAGUAGUUAAUACAGUAUAACAAGCUCUGUGAUAGGUCUAUCAGUAGUUAAUACAGUAUAACAAGCUCUGUGAUAGGUCUAUCAGUAGUUAAUACAGUAUAACUAGCUCUGUGAUAGGUCUAUCAGUAGUUAAUACAGUAUAACUAGCUCUGUGAUAGGUCUAUCAGUAGUUAAUACAGUAUAACUAGCUCUGUGAUAGGUCUAUCAGUAGUUA
Long non-coding RNA from Oncorhynchus keta (chum salmon), 265 nucleotides. RefSeq lists it as uncharacterized. The transcript is spliced from 3 exons. Lineage: Eukaryota; Metazoa; Chordata; Actinopteri; Salmoniformes; Salmonidae. The record is from RefSeq and is a predicted model, not a curated record.